RNAcentral lists this ribosomal RNA (706 nucleotides) under Bacillus sp. MJBC11. Its description in RNAcentral is "bacterial SSU rRNA". It matches the Rfam family "Bacterial small subunit ribosomal RNA", at positions 92 to 784 of the family's 1533-position model. The record is from RNAcentral. Lineage: Bacteria; Bacillati; Bacillota; Bacilli; Caryophanales; Bacillaceae.
UCAGCGGCGGACGGGUGAGUAACACGUGGGCAACCUGCCUGUAAGACUGGGAUAACUCCGGGAAACCGGAGCUAAUACCGGAUAGUAUCUUGAACCGCAUGGUUCAAGUUGGAAAGACGGUUUCGGCUGUCACUUACAGAUGGGCCCGCGGCGCAUUAGCUAGUUGGUGAGGUAAUGGCUCACCAAGGCAACGAUGCGUAGCCGACCUGAGAGGGUGAUCGGCCACACUGGGACUGAGACACGGCCCAGACUCCUACGGGAGGCAGCAGUAGGGAAUCUUCCGCAAUGGACGAAAGUCUGACGGAGCAACGCCGCGUGAGUGAUGAAGGUUUUCGGAUCGUAAAACUCUGUUGUUAGGGAAGAACAAGUGCGAGAGUAACUGCUCGCACCUUGACGGUACCUAACCAGAAAGCCACGGCUAACUACGUGCCAGCAGCCGCGGUAAUACGUAGGUGGCAAGCGUUGUCCGGAAUUAUUGGGCGUAAAGCGCGCGCAGGCGGUUUCUUAAGUCUGAUGUGAAAGCCCCCGGCUCAACCGGGGAGGGUCAUUGGAAACUGGGAAACUUGAGUGCAGAAGAGGAGAGUGGAAUUCCACGUGUAGCGGUGAAAUGCGUAGAGAUGUGGAGGAACACCAGUGGCGAAGGCGACUCUCUGGUCUGUAACUGACGCUGAGGCGCGAAAGCGUGGGGAGCGAACAGGAUUAGAUA